Molecule: ribosomal RNA, 253 nt
Filed under: uncultured bacterium
Lineage: Bacteria
Description: partial 16S ribosomal RNA
Rfam family: Bacterial small subunit ribosomal RNA
Source: RNAcentral
UACAGAGACUGCAAGCGUUGUUCGGAUUCACUGGGCGUAAAGGGUGCGUAGGCGGUCGGGUAAGUCUGACGUGAAAUCUUCAAGCUCAACUUGGAAACUGCGUCGGAUACUAUUCGGCUAGAGGAAUGGAGGGGAGACUGGAAUACUUGGUGUAGCAGUGAAAUGCGUAGAUAUCAAGUGGAACACCAGUGGCGAAGGCGAGUCUCUGGACAUUUCCUGACGCUGAGGCACGAAAGCCAGGGGAGCAAACGGG